Anolis carolinensis (green anole) is the source of this 554-nucleotide long non-coding RNA. RefSeq lists it as uncharacterized. Lineage: Eukaryota; Metazoa; Chordata; Lepidosauria; Squamata; Anolidae. The record is from RefSeq and is a predicted model, not a curated record. The transcript is spliced from 3 exons.
CCUUUAAGUGAGAUUGGUGACUUGCAAUCUGUGUGUGUGUGUUUGUCAUCACAACAAGUUUCUAUGGAGCUGGAUCUGAUGUCAUGAAUAAGGGCAUUGUUUCUCUCUCCCUCACCCCUACCUUCCCCACCUUGCAAGUUCCCAAGCAUAUUUGCAGCACAGGUUUGGAUACAGAAAUGACUUCACCAGUUAAAUAUUAUUAGAUCCUAGAGUAUAUCAAAGCUAUUCAAGAAACCUGUGCUUGCUCCUGAUUGGCUUAGUUAUUGUCUUGCUAGAAUCCGCACCCUGAUUGCCUCAGGGCUCCAAGCAACAUCAUCACAGGUUUCCUGUAGCCAGUGGGCUAUGUAUGUGUGGUUUCAUCACUCAAAAGGGAGAUGAGGAUUGUCUUAUGCCUGGUUUCAUGUCUCAUUCAAAGGCAAGCUUCCUUACCUAUAACCAAUUUCAUUAUGGUCUUUUCAGUGCCAAUCAUUUUGUUCCUCUAGCUUUUGGUGCUUACCCUGCCUACGAUUCCCUGCUGAAAACACAAACGUAUAAGCUUAGUGUUCCAGAAUGUA